This 721-nucleotide ribosomal RNA is filed under the name uncultured Nitrososphaerota archaeon. Its description in RNAcentral is "bacterial SSU rRNA". It matches the Rfam family "Archaeal small subunit ribosomal RNA", at positions 8 to 737 of the family's 1478-position model. Lineage: Archaea; Thermoproteati; Nitrososphaerota. The record is from RNAcentral.
UUGAUCCUGCCGGACCCGACUGCUAUCAGAGUGAGAUUAAGCCAUGCGAGUCAACGUAGCAAUACGUGGCACACGGCUCAGUAACACGUAGUCAACAUAACCAAAGGACGUGGAUAAACUCGGGAAACUGAGGCUAAACCGCGAUAGACCAAGAUACCUGGAAUGGUUUUUGAUUAAAAUCUAUAUGGCCUUUGGAUUGGACUGCGACCGAUCAGGCUGUUGGUGAGGUAAUGGCCCACCAAACCUGUAACCGGUACGGGCUCUGAGAGGAGGAGCCCGGAGAUGGGUACUGAGACAAGGGCCCAGGCCCUAUGGGGCGCAGCAGGCGCGAAAACUCUGCAAUAAGCGAAAGCUUGACAGGGUUAUUCUGAGUGAUUUCCGCUAAGGAAAUCCUUUGGCACCUCUAAAAAUGGUGCAGAAUAAGGGGUGGGCAAGCCUGGUGUCAGCCGCCGCGGUAAUACCAGCACCCCGAGUGGUCGGGACGAUUAUUGGGCCUAAAGCAUCCGUAGCCGGUUCUACAAGUCUUCCGUUAAAUCCAUCUGCUUAACAGAUGGGCUGCGGAGGAUACUAUGGAGCUAGGAGGCGGGAGAGGCAAGCGGUACUUAGUGGGUAGGGGUAAAAUCCGUUGAUCCAUUGAAGACCACCAGUGGCGAAGGCGGCUUGCCAGAACGCACUCGACGGUGAGGGAUGAAAGCUGGGGGAGCAAACCGGAUUAGAUACC